CCUUCGUCUACGGCGGCUGCAACGGCAACCUCAACCGCUUCCAGACCCUCGACGAAUGCG
RNAcentral lists this microRNA precursor (60 nucleotides) under Cordylochernes scorpioides. Lineage: Eukaryota; Metazoa; Arthropoda; Arachnida; Pseudoscorpiones; Chernetidae. The record is from RNAcentral.